AUACGAAGGGGGCUAGCGUUGUUCGGAAUUACUGGGCGUAAAGCGCGCGUAGGCGGAUUGGUCAGUUAGGGGUGAAAUCCCAGGGCUUAACCCUGGAACUGCCUCUAAAACUGCCAGUCUUGAGUUCGGGAGAGGUGAGUGGAAUUCCUAGUGUAGAGGUGAAAUUCGUAGAUAUUAGGAAGAACACCAGUGGCGAAGGCGGCUCACUGGCUCGAUACUGACGCUGAGGCGCGAAAGCGUGGGGAGCAAACAGGAUUAGAUACCCUAGUAGUCC
RNAcentral lists this ribosomal RNA (274 nucleotides) under uncultured bacterium. RNAcentral describes it as "partial 16S ribosomal RNA". It matches the Rfam family "Bacterial small subunit ribosomal RNA", at positions 523 to 796 of the family's 1533-position model. The record is from RNAcentral.